Chelonoidis abingdonii (Abingdon island giant tortoise) is the source of this 144-nucleotide non-coding RNA. The record is from RefSeq and is a predicted model, not a curated record. NCBI's taxonomy places the organism in Eukaryota, Metazoa, Chordata, Testudines, Testudinidae.
AGUAGCCAUGAUUGUUAGUUCACUUUUCACAGUCAGUGCCGAAAGCAGUUUUUUUGUUUGUUUGUUUUUUUUACCUUGACUUCUACUUCCUUCUGUUACUGAGAGCAGCACCGGAAUCGCAUCCAUCAUAGCUGCUUGUUAUAU